RNAcentral lists this ribosomal RNA (82 nucleotides) under Psychrobacillus lasiicapitis. Its description in RNAcentral is "partial 16S ribosomal RNA". It matches the Rfam family "Bacterial small subunit ribosomal RNA", at positions 1 to 82 of the family's 1533-position model. Lineage: Bacteria; Bacillati; Bacillota; Bacilli; Caryophanales; Bacillaceae. The record is from RNAcentral.
AUUAUGGAGAGUUUGAUCCUGGCUCAGGACGAACGCUGGCGGCGUGCCUAAUACAUGCAAGUCGAGCGAAUGAUGAAGAAGC